Molecule: ribosomal RNA, 786 nt
Filed under: Triticum aestivum (bread wheat)
Lineage: Eukaryota; Viridiplantae; Streptophyta; Magnoliopsida; Poales; Poaceae
Description: partial small subunit ribosomal RNA
Source: RNAcentral
AUGAUGAACCGCCGGCUUGUGCAUCUGGUAGCCCGCGCCACCAUCGGCGGCCGCCAAGCCUACACGCUGCACCCCAUCGAUCCGUCGACCUUCUUCCAUGACCGAACGAAACCAAGCGGCGCCGACGAUGGAACGGCGACGAUGGAGGAAUUCCAGCCGCCCCCACCGGCCACGACCUUCCUCGGACCCGACACGGAACCCCAAGACAUGGAUUUCAUGCCCGUCGGCCGCGGCGGCGAGAAAGGCGUCCUCGCCGUGGACUGCGAGGGUUGUGCCGCCCUCUACUCCGCCUCAUCGCAGACCCUGAGCACCAUCCCCACGCUGCGCGCUCCAAAGGUCCAGCCCAUCUUUUUCCCCGUCGGUGACAGCCGCCUGUACGUCAUGGACCGGAAACCUCGGCGAGACCCCCGCCGCUGCUUCGUGGCCCUCAUCCGUGGGCGCGAAUCCGGCCUCCGCUGUCGGAUGGCAUGGCACUGGCGAUCUCUCCAGCCGCCCCCCUACCUGCCCCCGACCCGCUGGGACGACGACGACGACGACGACGACUCUGACUUGAACGAUGACAGGCAAGCCAUGGUAGACGACGGGUCCAAGUCCAGUAUGGUGGUGGAGGGCGAGCUGGGCGACAUAGCGGGGCACACGGUCGUGGGCGACUCGAAGAUCUGGAUAUCCACGGCCGGCGCCGGCACCUACACCUUCGACACGGGCAGGCCCGUCGAUGGAGGGGCCAAGGUGGGCGACCGCCGAGGGCCCCCCAAAAUUUGGGGCCCCCAAAUUACUGGGUAUUAG